UACAGAGGUCCCAAGCGUUGUUCGGAUUCACUGGGCGUAAAGGGUGCGUAGGCGGUCGGGUAAGUCUGAUGUGAAGUCUCCAAGCCUAACUUGGAAACUGCAUUGGAUACUAUCCGGCUCGAGGAAUGGAGGGGAGACUGGAAUACUUGGUGUAGCAGUGAAAUGCGUAGAUAUCAAGUGGAACACCAGUGGCGAAGGCGAGUCUCUGGACAUUUCCUGACGCUGAGGCACGAAAGCCAGGGGAGCAAACGGG
RNAcentral lists this ribosomal RNA (253 nucleotides) under uncultured bacterium. RNAcentral describes it as "partial 16S ribosomal RNA". It matches the Rfam family "Bacterial small subunit ribosomal RNA", at positions 524 to 776 of the family's 1533-position model. The record is from RNAcentral.